Molecule: RNA transcript, 1566 nt
Organism: Brassica napus (rape)
Lineage: Eukaryota; Viridiplantae; Streptophyta; Magnoliopsida; Brassicales; Brassicaceae
Exons: 5
Source: RefSeq, a predicted model, not a curated record
CACGUGUUACAAUUGUGUCGCUAAAAAAAAAAAGCCGGAGAAGUCUUUUGUUUCUCCAUCUCUCUUCUUUGUGUCUUCUCCAUCUCUCGUCUAUGUGUCUCUCCCGGUGAAGGCUAUGCAGCUGACUGGAAUCGGGAAUAGGAAUUACUCGGUAAAGCCAUUGAUCGGAGGUCAGUUUGGGAUCUCUGUUCCAAGUCAAAACCGGAGAAGAUGGUUCUUUCCUCUGUCUCAUUCUUCCCAUCAAAAAAAGUUUUGUCUUUUUUCUCAAAAUCACAUUAAAGAAUCGUUUUUGUGUUUGGUUAUAGAUUUGAUUGAAUUGAUGUUAUGGUAAUUCCAGAAAGUAGCAGAGUUAAUUUUAUAUACGAUGUUACAGAAACGUUCGAGAACUUAUUGACAAUAAUGAAUCUCAAAACCUCACUGCUGAAGGGAUUGAAGCUAUGCAGAUGUUUGAACAAGACUUAACUUCUCUGGGUGUUUAUAUAUAGAAGAAUCUGUUAAUUGCUAAUGUGAGAUUAUUGAAGCACUGAUUGUUAUGUGUAGAGAGGGUGCAAAAGGGGAUGAGAUUACUGAAGAUAUGAUUGCAAACAGCAAAACAUUAGCGUUUAAUCUUUUCUUCAGUAAAAAUAUCUCCUUAAAGCAGAAGAAGUAUGCGCCAAAGGUGUUUCUAAGACGCCCUUUUGCUGGAAGUAUCUGCGAAGCCUAUUUGAAGAAAUAUCCAGCCAUGAUCAAGCGUGCUCCCUUUUGUUAACAAUGGCUACUGUCACUGCAUACUCGGAUGUGCUUAUGGUGGAUAUGGUUGGUGGUCUUGUCACUGGUGCAGUGGCUGAACGUCUAGGAGGCGCUGGUUAUGUUUGCAAUACAUAAAAGGAAGAUUCUCCUUCCUUCCUCUGUGGAUAUGGUUAGGAUGUUCAACUUUACUGACAAGGUUAAAGAGGGGGAGCAAGAUGAUUACGAGAACAUCAACGAGAUGUGCGUUAUCAAGAUGCUUGAGCCUGUCAUGAAGAAGAAGAUGAAAUGGGAUCAUGCCUGAGGGAGGUGGAAAGGGAGAGAUCCGGCGGAGAAGCCAUUGUAGAGAGCUUGAAUGGAGCCGUCAACGUCGUUUGGAUUAUGGUGAGGGAGAGGAACCGUCGUGAUCUGGUUUCUGGCGUCAGAGGCGGGUGAAGGACCGUCGUCGAGGAUGGAGAGAGGCCAAGGAGCGGAGGAGAAGAUGUGGUGGAGGAAGUCAUCAUGGUCAAAAGUGGCUGGAGACUGGAGAUGAGGAGAAGAAGAAGAAGAUGAAGAUGAAGAAGGGGCUUUUUGCAAAAGUGACUCAAAACUUGGAGUCAAACAGAAAACUAACCUUUUCUUUUGACUCCUUUUUUUUUUGAGAUUUUAACCUCACACCUGCACUUUAUCUACGAAAAUGCCAUUAACAUUUUUUUUUUUUUUUUUCGAAAAUGGCUUCUUUACUGUCUCAACCUCAUCUUCUUCAAGUAUUUACAAUACUGCCACUGCAAUGAAUAGUGGCAACAACCUUGUACGAACUGUUUGGAGCUUUUAAUGCCCUUUAAUGCACGUAAAUCUCUU